AAGGGAGUGAUUUAUUUGUGUGGCAGGAUCGUGUACCUUCCAGAGACCUGCUGAACUCAUAAUGAGCCAUUGGUUUCCCGUUAGUCCACUUUUAAAGGAAAAUUCCUUUUCAACUAACUUUCAGAGCUCUUGUAACUUGCUGUCAUAGUAACUUUUAUGUUUAUUAGAGACUUUCUUAUGUGUAGGAGGAUGCCCAGCAGGAGUUUGGCUGGAAGAUGAUUCAUACAGUUGUUUUCAGGCCCUCAAAGAGUGCAAUGUUGUUGUCAGCCUUCCUGGGUCAAGGAAUACAAGUUUUGUUUAUGACCUUUAUUACUUUAAAUGAGUACACUCAGAUAUGUCUUAAAGAUGAGUAGUAAGCUGCUAGCAUAUGUUGAACUUUGAUACCUUUGUACAAAAUGACUUGGAAAAUUAUACCCUAAAGUUUGUGGAAAUCUGUGUUUUGUAACGUUUACAUUACUGUCUUCUCAAAUUAAGGAUAUGAGUCUAAGUAUCUGCCUAUAUCAAGCACCUUCCAAAGCUUCUUUAGCUCUGAAUAGUUUACUGUAAACUCCAAUACACGUAUUCCUUGCUUUGCAAAAUAAAUGCAUUCUUAAAAUCAGUAUGUGAGUAGAAUCAUAUUUUAGGUGGGCUAAGGGAGUUCAUGAUUCAAAGGCUAGCAUUUUGAAAUGCUACAGCAAGCCUAAGUGCUGGUCUUUAAGUGUAUAAAUGGAAUAGCAUCUGUAGUGGGUUCACAAUGGCUGAUGAAUCCUAGAGCCUUCAUUUAUAAACUAAAAAUGGAGCUUGUCAGUUUUUGAUAGCCAGAGUAGUGAUUUUCGUAAACAAAGCCGCUGUAAAAAAUGGCUCAUUAAGUGUUUCAGAUGUCAAUGAUAAUUUCAAAAAUCAGCUUUUAGGGUUAUAUUUUCCUGAGACCAAGUCUCACUUAGAUUUUUUUAUCCCUCACCUUGAAUGAAAGGAAACAGAAGGAAAUUUGUUUGUGAAAAAAAAGACUUGCUGUUUUUUAGUAGUGACUAUUGAAGUGGGAAAGGGGAAAAUAUUUUGUUUUAUUUUGAAUUAGGCAGUGAAAUUAAGGCUAAUUCAACUUAUGAAAACUUCCUUCCACUUACCUUGAAUGGAGAAUUAGACCUUUUCAUUAACAAAAAUUGUCAAGUGCUUAGCCAAGCAAAUAACAUUUGCUUGUAGCAUCCCUUGCUUGUAGUACUUCCAUUAGUUAAUUUCCUUGUGUGCUGUUUCAUAUAAUGUCUUAAUAAGGUUAUGCUUAAUUUCUUAUAAAGUCCUAUGUACUGUCGAGACUAUUAUUGUUGAUGGUUUUCUAUUUCAUUUUUUUGCCCUUAGGUCUGGCCUGCCUUGGUUUUCUUUCUCCUGGCCAUGGAGGGGCUUUAUGACCUGUGCCAUUGUGUUAUGGGUCCUUCUGGGAACCCCUGCUAGAUACAUGUCUGCUAUAAUGUAUAAGAAAUUGUCUUUGCUGACCUCUUCCUUGUGAAUGAAAUUCUCUGGAUGGAAGAGAAUUUUUUUUCUACUCUGCUAGAUAUCUUUACAAUUUGGUUUGGAAUUUCAGUACCACUAACAUUUUUUGGUGCAUAUUUUGGAAACAAGGAAAAGGUGUUCAAAAUCUGGUGUGUAUUUUCCACAUACAGCCCAUCUCAAUUCAGACAGCCACAUUUCAAGUGCUCAACAGCCACAUGCGGCCAGUGGCAUCAUACUAAGUAACACACGGCUAAACAAUCAAUAAGGAUAUUUAUCAUUUUUUAUGAUUUCCAAUGGAGAGAUUGGAAAGACUUACUAUGUACAUAUAUGACCACAUUGGGAAACCUUUAGAAGAAACAUACAUUGGAUACCUCUCCCAGGAUCAGACUACCUGCAGAAUUCAAUCAGAUGGACUCUCACACUAGUUUGCAGGCGACUGUCUCUGGCUCUGUUGCUCAUCCUGUUUGCUCAGUAAGAGAGCCUGGUGGUUUUCAUUUAAUAAAUGUACAAAUCUUGAGAGUUGGAGAAUCAGUAGCCUACCUCAAAAACUGACAUGUUUUGUGUUUUUGAGAAAGCUGCUUUCAUUGCUAUGACGUCUGGCUAACAAAGAUCUUUUUCAUUUUGUUUCAGGGACGGUUGGAUUUUUUUCCUGUUUCUGGUUUAUUACUAAAAUCUACAGUGUGCUGAAGGUGGAGUAAAGUAUUUUCCCGAAGGAUUCCAAGCACAUCUCCCUUGCUCUUGAGUAUCUGUAUAUCUAUAUGAACAUCAAUGAAGAUACAUAUGUGUGCCCCUAAUUACAUAAAUUUUAAACACGUAUAAACGUAAAAUCUCAUUGUCUGACCUCAGUUUAUAUGACACAAAAUACUGAUUGUGUGGAAGAAAACAGGUUGGGAAACAGAUUUAUUCAACAUCAUGUUUUCCUGAUAAGAUACCAUAAAAUGUUUUAAAUUAAAGCAAUUCGAGCAAGGGAGGCACAUUUCUUUAAAAAAUUAAAGUUGAAUACCACACUGGUUUUUCAGA
This is a long non-coding RNA of Cebus imitator (Panamanian white-faced capuchin), 2484 nucleotides long. RefSeq lists it as uncharacterized. The transcript is spliced from 5 exons. NCBI's taxonomy places the organism in Eukaryota, Metazoa, Chordata, Mammalia, Primates, Cebidae. The record is from RefSeq and is a predicted model, not a curated record.